GUCUAUGGCCAUACCACCCUGAACACGCCCAAUCUCGUCUGAUCUCGGAAACUAAGCAGGAUCGGGCCUGGUUAGUACUUGGAUGGGAGAACACACAUAUUGCUAUGCCCA
Ribosomal RNA from Erinaceus europaeus (western European hedgehog), 111 nucleotides. The record is from Ensembl. NCBI's taxonomy places the organism in Eukaryota, Metazoa, Chordata, Mammalia, Eulipotyphla, Erinaceidae.